AGUGAACGCUGGCGGUAGGCCUAACACAUGCAAGUCGAACGGCAGCACAGUAAGAGCUUGCUCUUACGGGUGGCGAGUGGCGGACGGGUGAGGAAUACAUCGGAAUCUACUUUUUCGUGGGGGAUAACGUAGGGAAACUUACGCUAAUACCGCAUACGACCUACGGGUGAAAGCAGGGGAUCUUCGGACCUUGCGCGAUUGAAUGAGCCGAUGUCGGAUUAGCUAGUUGGCGGGGUAAAGGCCCACCAGGGCGACGAUCCGUAGCUGGUCUGAGAGGAUGAUCAGCCACACUGGAACUGGGACACGGUCCAGACUCCUAGGGGAGGCAGGAGGGGGGAAUAUUGGACAAUGGGGGAAAGCCUGAUCCAGCCAUACCGCGUGGGUGAAGAAGGCCUUCGGGUUGUAAAGCCCUUUUGUUGGGAAAAAAAAGCAGCAGGUUAAUACCCCGCUGUUCGGACGGUACCCAAAGAAUAAGCACCGGCUAACUUCGU
This 491-nucleotide ribosomal RNA is filed under the name uncultured bacterium. RNAcentral's name for it is "partial 16S ribosomal RNA". It matches the Rfam family "Bacterial small subunit ribosomal RNA", at positions 29 to 506 of the family's 1533-position model. The record is from RNAcentral.